GCCAGACUCCUACGGGAGGCAGCAGUGGGGGAUAUUGCACAAUGGGGGGAACCCUGAUGCAGCGACGCCGCGUGGGUGAAGGAGUAUUUCGGUAUGUAAAGCCCUAUCGGCAGGGAAGAAGCAAGACGGUACCUGACUAAGAAGCCCCGGCUAACUACGUGCCAGCAGCCGCGGUAAUACGUAGGGGGCGAGCGUUAUCCGGAUUCACUGGGUGUAAAGGGAGCGUAGACGGCCAAGCAAGCCAGGGGUGAAAGCCCGGGGCCCAACCCCGGGACUGCCCUUGGAACUGCUUGGCUGGAGUGCGGGAGGGGCAGGCGGAAUUCCUGGUGUAGCGGUGAAAUGCGUAGAUAUCAGGAGGAACACCGGCGGCGAAGGCGGCCUGCUGGACCGCGACUGACGUUGAGGCUCGAGAGCGUGGGGAGCAAACAGGAUUAGAUACCCCAGUA
RNAcentral lists this ribosomal RNA (446 nucleotides) under uncultured bacterium. RNAcentral's name for it is "bacterial SSU rRNA". It matches the Rfam family "Bacterial small subunit ribosomal RNA", at positions 330 to 792 of the family's 1533-position model. The record is from RNAcentral.